This 560-nucleotide ribosomal RNA is filed under the name uncultured bacterium. RNAcentral describes it as "bacterial SSU rRNA". It matches the Rfam family "Bacterial small subunit ribosomal RNA", at positions 8 to 563 of the family's 1533-position model. The record is from RNAcentral.
AGAGUUUGAUCCUGGCUCAGAUUGAACGCUGGCGGCAGGCUUAAUACAUGCAAGUCGAACGGUAACAGCAGGAAGCUUGCUUCCUGGCUGACGAGUGGCGGACGGGUGAGUAAUACCUGGGGAGCUGCCUGAAUGAGGGGGGCAACACCUGGAAACGGGUGCUUAUACCGCGUAAGCCCUGAGGGGGAAAGGCUGGGCAACCAGUCGCAUUCAGAUGCGCCCAGGUGGGAUUAGCUAGUUGGUGGGGUAACGGCCUACCAAGGCGACGAUCUCUAGCUGGUCUGAGAGGAUGAUCAGCCACACUGGAACUGAGACACGGUCCAGACUCCUACGGGAGGCAGCAGUAGGGAAUAUUGCACAAUGGGGGAAACCCUGAUGCAGCCAUGCCGCGUGUGUGAAGAAGGCCUUUGGGUUGUAAAGCACUUUCAGUAUGGAGGAAGUGUAGUAUGUUAACAGCAUGCUGCAUUGACGUUACAUACAGAAGAAGCACCGGCUAACUCCGUGCCAGCAGCCGCGGUAAUACGGAGGGUGCGAGCGUUAAUCGGAAUAACUGGGCGUAA